GUAGGUGGCAAGCGUUGUCCGGAAUUAUUGGGCGUAAAGCGCGCGCAGGCGGUUCUUUAAGUCUGAUGUGAAAGCCCACGGCUCAACCGUGGAGGGUCAUUGGAAACUGGAGAACUUGAGUACAGAAGAGGAAAGCGGAAUUCCACGUGUAGCGGUGAAAUGCGUAGAGAUGUGGAGGAACGCCAGUGGCGAAGGCGGCUUUCUGGUCUGUAACUGACGCUGAGGCGCGAAAGCGUGGGGAGCAAACAGGAUUAGAUACCCUGGUAGUCCACGCCGUAAACGAUGAGUGCUAAGUGUUAGGGGGUUUCCGCCCCCCUUAGUGCUGCAGCUAACGCAUUAAGCACUCCGCCUGGGAGUACGGCCGCAAGGCUG
Molecule: ribosomal RNA, 372 nt
Filed under: uncultured organism
Description: partial 16S ribosomal RNA
Rfam family: Bacterial small subunit ribosomal RNA
Source: RNAcentral